Molecule: ribosomal RNA, 521 nt
Filed under: uncultured Lachnospiraceae bacterium
Lineage: Bacteria; Bacillati; Bacillota; Clostridia; Lachnospirales; Lachnospiraceae
Description: bacterial SSU rRNA
Rfam family: Bacterial small subunit ribosomal RNA
Source: RNAcentral
ACCGCAUAAGCGCACAGAACCGCAUGGUUUGGUGUGAAAAACUCCGGUGGUAUAAGAUGGACCCGCGUUGGAUUAGCUAGUUGGCAGGGCAGCGGCCUACCAAGGCGACGAUCCAUAGCCGGCCUGAGAGGGUGAACGGCCACAUUGGGACUGAGACACGGCCCAGACUCCUACGGGAGGCAGCAGUGGGGAAUAUUGCACAAUGGGGGAAACCCUGAUGCAGCGACGCCGCGUGAAGGAAGAAGUAUCUCGGUAUGUAAACUUCUAUCAGCAGGGAAGAUAAUGACGGUACCUGACUAAGAAGCCCCGGCUAACUACGUGCCAGCAGCCGCGGUAAUACGUAGGGGGCAAGCGUUAUCCGGAUUUACUGGGUGUAAAGGGAGCGUAGACGGCGCAGCAAGUCUGAUGUGAAAGGCAGGGGCUUAACCCCUGGACUGCAUUGGAAACUGCUGUGCUUGAGUGCCGGAGGGGUAAGCGGAAUUCCUAGUGUAGCGGUGAAAUGCGUAGAUAUUAGGAGGAAC